UAGCGGUGAAAUGCGUAGAGAUGUGGAGGAACACCAGGUGGCGAAGGCGGCUUUUUGGUCUGUAACUGACGCUGAGGCGCGAAAGCGUGGGGAGCAAACAGGAUUAGAUACCCUGGUAGUCCACGCCGUAAACGAUGACUGCUUAGAGGUAGAGGCUUUCCGCCCUUUAUUGCUGAACCUAACGCAUUAAUCACUCCGCCUGGGGAGUACGGUCGCAAGACUGAAACUCAAUGGAAUUGACGGGGGCCCGCACAACCGGGGAAGCAUGUGGUUUAAUUCAAACCACCCCAAAAAACCUUACCGGGUCUUGACAUCCUCUGACUACUCUAAAAAUAAAUCGUUCCCCUUCGAACU
RNAcentral lists this ribosomal RNA (354 nucleotides) under Priestia megaterium. RNAcentral describes it as "bacterial SSU rRNA". It matches the Rfam family "Bacterial small subunit ribosomal RNA", at positions 676 to 1028 of the family's 1533-position model. Lineage: Bacteria; Bacillati; Bacillota; Bacilli; Caryophanales; Bacillaceae. The record is from RNAcentral.